AUUGAACGCUGGCGGCAGGCCUAACACAUGCAAGUCGAACGAGUGGCGGACGGGUGAGUAAUGUCUGGGAAACUGCCUGAUGGAGGGGGAUAACUACUGGAAACGGUAGCUAAUACCGCAUACCAUCGGAUGUGCCCAGAUGGGAUUAGCGAGUGGGUGGGGAAACGGCUCACCUAGGCGACGAUCCCGAGCGGGUCUGAGAGGAGGACCAGCCACACUGGAACGGAGACACGGUCCAGACUCCUACGGGAGGCAGCAUGGGGGAAUAUUGCACAAGGGGCGCAAGCCUGAUGCAGCCAGGCCGCGUGUAGGAAGAAGGCCUUCGGGUUUGAAAGUACUUUCAGCGGGGAGGCGUUACCCGCAGAAGAAGCACCGGCUAACUCCGUGCCAGCAGCCGCGGUAAUAC
RNAcentral lists this ribosomal RNA (406 nucleotides) under uncultured bacterium. RNAcentral's name for it is "partial 16S ribosomal RNA". It matches the Rfam family "Bacterial small subunit ribosomal RNA", at positions 29 to 526 of the family's 1533-position model. The record is from RNAcentral.